RNAcentral lists this transfer RNA (75 nucleotides) under Candidatus Giovannonibacteria bacterium GWA2_45_15. Its description in RNAcentral is "tRNA-Arg". It matches the Rfam family "tRNA". From Rfam's summary of the family: Transfer RNA (tRNA) molecules are approximately 80 nucleotides in length. Their secondary structure includes four short double-helical elements and three loops (D, anti-codon, and T loops). RNAcentral also lists the same sequence under 7 other names. The record is from RNAcentral. Lineage: Bacteria; Candidatus Giovannoniibacteriota.
GCCCUCGUCGUUCAACGGACAGGAUGCAAGCUUGCGGAGCUUGUGAUAGAGGUUCAAUUCCUCUCGAGGGCGUCA